GUUGGUGUCUUUGGCGGCGGGGAUCACCUCUUCCCAUUCCGAACAGAGCAGUUAAGCCCGCCAGCGCCGAUGGUACUGCGUCAGAUGUCGCGGGAGAGUAGGUCGAUGCCAACC
This 114-nucleotide ribosomal RNA is filed under the name Saprospiraceae bacterium. The record is from RNAcentral. Lineage: Bacteria; Pseudomonadati; Bacteroidota; Saprospiria; Saprospirales; Saprospiraceae.